This 407-nucleotide ribosomal RNA is filed under the name bacterium enrichment culture clone ALO1_GLFRUDD03FOU7W. Its description in RNAcentral is "bacterial SSU rRNA". It matches the Rfam family "Bacterial small subunit ribosomal RNA", at positions 9 to 416 of the family's 1533-position model. The record is from RNAcentral.
GAGUUUGAUCCUGGCUCAGAUUGAACGCUGGCGGCAUGCCUUACACAUGCAAGUCGAACGGCAGCACGGGAGCUUGCUCCUGGUGGCGAGUGGCGAACGGGUGAGUAAUGCAUCGGAACGUAUCCUGGAGUGGGGGAUAACGUAGCGAAAGUUACGCUAAUACCGCAUAUUCUGUGAGCAGGAAAGCGGGGGACCUUCGGGCCUCGCGCUCUUGGAGCGGCCGACGUCGGAUUAGCUAGUUGGUGAGGUAAAGGCUCACCAAGGCGACGAUCCGUAGCAGGUCUGAGAGGAUGAUCUGCCACACUGGAACUGAGACACGGUCCAGACUCCUACGGGAGGCAGCAGUGGGGAAUUUUGGACAAUGGGGGCAACCCUGAUCCAGCCAUGCCGCGUGAGUGAAGAAGGCC